Molecule: ribosomal RNA, 468 nt
Filed under: uncultured bacterium
Lineage: Bacteria
Description: partial 16S ribosomal RNA
Rfam family: Bacterial small subunit ribosomal RNA
Source: RNAcentral
GACGAACGCUGGCGGCGUGCUUAACACAUGCAAGUCGAACGGAAAGGCCCUGCUUUUGUGGGGUGCUCGAGUGGCGAACGGGUGAGUAACACGUGAGUAACCUGCCCUUGACUUUGGGAUAACUUCAGGAAACUGGGGCUAAUACCGGAUAGGAGCUCCUGCUGCAUGGUGGGGGUUGGAAAGUUUCGGCGGUUGGGGAUGGACUCGCGGCUUAUCAGCUUGUUGGUGGGGUAGUGGCUUACCAAGGCUUUGACGGGUAGCCGGCCUGAGAGGGUGACCGGCCACAUUGGGACUCGGAUACAGCACAGACUCCUACGGGAGGCAGCAGUGGGGAAUAUUGCACAAUGGGCGGAAGCCUGAUGCAGCAACGCCGCGUGCGGGAUGACGGCCUUCGGGUUGUAAACCGCUUUCGCCUGUGACGAAGCGUGAGUGACGGUAAUGGGUAAAGAAGCACCGGCUAACUACGUG